This 213-nucleotide ribosomal RNA is filed under the name Salmonella enterica subsp. enterica serovar Enteritidis. RNAcentral's name for it is "partial 16S ribosomal RNA". It matches the Rfam family "Bacterial small subunit ribosomal RNA", at positions 97 to 313 of the family's 1533-position model. Lineage: Bacteria; Pseudomonadati; Pseudomonadota; Gammaproteobacteria; Enterobacterales; Enterobacteriaceae. The record is from RNAcentral.
GGCGGACGGGUGAGUAAUGUCUGGGAAACUGCCUGAUGGAGGGGGAUAACUACUGGAAACGGUGGCUAAUACCGCAUAACGUCGCAAGACCAAAGAGGGGGACCUUCGGGCCUCUUGCCAUCAGAUGUGCCCAGAUGGGAUUAGCUUGUUGGUGAGGUAACGGCUCACCAAGGCGACGAUCCCUAGCUGGUCUGAGAGGAUGACCAGCCACAC